AAAUCUGGAGCUGCUUUUCCUCCUCCCUCAUCCAUUCACCUGGACUGGAAGCCAUCUCACAGUGAUCAGUGUCUGAUAUCUCUGGGUGGCGCCCGCCGCGCUGAUUUGGCAGCUGAUCAGCUGGGACCAACCUCAUCCUCUUGGCUCGGACUGAACUCUUAGACCAGAGGUCCCUACCUUAGACUCCAACGCUGUUCACUGCAGUUCUGUUUUUAACAAAUUUUUUGAGAAAUCUAAGUGUCUGUCUGCCUCAAAUACUGGGUCCUCUCAUUCAGAGCCUGACAGAAGCUGUACAUCAUGGGGAA
Long non-coding RNA from Cyprinodon tularosa, 305 nucleotides. RefSeq lists it as uncharacterized. The record is from RefSeq and is a predicted model, not a curated record. The transcript is spliced from 3 exons. Lineage: Eukaryota; Metazoa; Chordata; Actinopteri; Cyprinodontiformes; Cyprinodontidae.